UAUGGCAGAAUAGUGCAAUGAAUUUAAGAUUCAUAAAUAAAGAAAAAUCUUUUAUUAGAA
RNAcentral lists this transfer RNA (60 nucleotides) under Halys sulcatus. RNAcentral's name for it is "tRNA-Leu". The record is from RNAcentral. Lineage: Eukaryota; Metazoa; Arthropoda; Insecta; Hemiptera; Pentatomidae.